GACGAACGCUGGCGGCGUGCMUAACACAUGCAAGUCGAACGGAGAAUUUCAAUAAGCUUGCUUAGAGGAAUUUUUAGUGGCGGACGGGUGAGUAACGCGUGGGUAACCUACCCAUAAACUCGGGACAACCCUUGGAAACGAGGGCUAAUACCGAAUAAGCUUUAGGCUUGGCAUCAAGCUUAAAGAAAAGGUGGCCUCUGUAGAUGCUACCGAUUAUGGAUGGACCCGCGUCUGAUUAGCUAGUUGGUGGGGUAAAGGCCUACCAAGGCGACGAUCAGUAGCCGGCCUGAGAGGGUGAACGGCCACACUGGGACUGAGACACGGCCCAGACUCCUACGGGAGGCAGCAGUGGGGAAUCUUCCGCAAUGGACGAAAGUCUGACGGAGCAACGCCGCGUGUAUGAUGGAGGUCUUCGGAUUGUAAAGUACUGUCUUUGGGGAAGAAUGAUUGGUUUGAAAAUAUUGAGCCAAUAUGACGGUACCCAAGGAGGAAGCCUCGGCUAACUACGUGCCAGCAGCCGCGGUAAUACGUAGGGGGCAAGCGUUGUCCGGAAUUAUUGGGCGUAAGGGCGCGUAGGCGGAUCGUUAAGUCCGGUGUGAAAGAUCAGGGCUCAACCCUGAGAGUGCAUCGGAAACUGGGGAUCUUGAGGACAGGAAAGGAAAGUGGAAU
Molecule: ribosomal RNA, 669 nt
Filed under: uncultured Desulfosporosinus sp.
Lineage: Bacteria; Bacillati; Bacillota; Clostridia; Eubacteriales; Desulfitobacteriaceae
Description: bacterial SSU rRNA
Rfam family: Bacterial small subunit ribosomal RNA
Source: RNAcentral